CAGCAGCCACGGGAAUACGUAGGUGGCAAGCGUUGUCCGGAAUUGUUGGGCGUAAAGGGCUCGCAGGCGGUUUCUUAAGUCUGAUGUGAAAGCCCCCGGCUCAACCGGGGAGGGUCAUUGGAAACUGGGAAACUUGAGUGCAGAAGAGGAGAGUGGAAUUCCACGUGUAGCGGUGAAAUGCGUAGAGAUGUGGAGGAACACCAGUGGCGAAGGCGACUCUCUGGUCUGUAACUGACGCUGAGGAGCGAAAGCGUGGGGAGCGAACAGGAUUAGAGACCCCUGUAGUCCCUGUCUCUUAUAC
Molecule: ribosomal RNA, 301 nt
Filed under: uncultured bacterium
Lineage: Bacteria
Description: partial 16S ribosomal RNA
Rfam family: Bacterial small subunit ribosomal RNA
Source: RNAcentral